GCUUUCUUUAAAACUGCCCCUUACCUUGAUUACAACUUGGGGAGUAGUGAACCGGUUGUAAGGGGCGGUGAAGUCAGAAAGGAGUAAGUGAUUUUAUGUAAUAAUUGAGGAUGGCUUUAGUGCGGCUGCCGCUUCAGAGCCGUAACUGUGAUCCUGGAACAGCCUUGUUCUCUUGGUAAACACCAAGAGACUGUUCUACUAGAUAUAUUUAGCUUUCUGAGGGCAAAACUCUUCAUUCAUGCUGCUUUGAUGGCUUUUGGUGCCUUGCACGUACCAUGUUUCCAACGGUAUCGUGUUAUCACUUCGGAGUUCUCUUCAGCUACGUAUCUGCGAGAAGACUCUUCAGAUCAAGAGGAACUAUACUCAAGGGGCUAUAUCUAAGGAACUGUACCCAAGAAGUUCAUCCAUACCUGGACCUCAAGCCUGAGCCUAGUAGCUGCGGGUAUUGGGGGAGGGAAUGAGUAUAUUUUUUGCAUGUUGGAAGGAUGUGAACUGCUGUGGCCAGAAGGUGGACUGAAGCAUAUGGUAUUUUGAAAACUGAUUUCAACAAUAUUUGUGAUUACACGUGUUCUUCUAGAACCAUGCCACUUAGAAGCUGAGUGUAUUUCUCCUCUUCUUGAACUUGUGUUGGCCUUUGAAUUGAGGAGCUGAUAUGACUUAUAAGGAAGUUAGGUCAGAAAAGGUGGUACUGUUUUUUGCCUGGCUCUCUCAGGUUGCUUACCUUUGGAACCUAGCCACUAUAGUAUGAGGAAGCCUAGUCUACAUACAGAAGCUAUGUGAAGCCAGCCAGGGUUUCAUCUGACAGCGUCAGCCAUCAGACACAUUAGUGAAUGAGGCUUUAUUUAAUUUCAGUCCCCAGCCUUUGAGCCACCCUGGUUGAUGCUAAGUGGAGCAGAGACAAGCUGUUUAAAUUGCAGAUUCAUGAGCAAAGUAAACGGUGUCUUGGUCAAUAUUAGGGUUAUUUAUUUAUUUUUUAUGUAGCCAUAGUAACUGAAAUAAUUAGAAAGAUAUAUAGUUUUAGAGUUUGUUUUUUAAUUAAGUUUUGGUAAUAAAGUUUUGCUGUUUUAUGAAAUGAA
Molecule: long non-coding RNA, 1076 nt
Organism: Canis lupus familiaris (dog)
Lineage: Eukaryota; Metazoa; Chordata; Mammalia; Carnivora; Canidae
Exons: 2
Source: RefSeq, a predicted model, not a curated record